AGGUAGGGUGGCCGAGCAGGCGGCGAGCUGUAGCCUCGUGCACGGGUCAAAGGGCCCCCCUGUCAA
RNAcentral lists this transfer RNA (66 nucleotides) under Cyrtodactylus philippinicus. RNAcentral's name for it is "tRNA-Tyr". The record is from RNAcentral. Lineage: Eukaryota; Metazoa; Chordata; Lepidosauria; Squamata; Gekkonidae.